This 1047-nucleotide ribosomal RNA is filed under the name uncultured crenarchaeote. RNAcentral describes it as "bacterial SSU rRNA". It matches the Rfam family "Archaeal small subunit ribosomal RNA", at positions 301 to 1362 of the family's 1478-position model. The record is from RNAcentral. Lineage: Archaea; Thermoproteati; Thermoproteota.
CGCGGGAUUCACGGGGGGACGGGGUGCAGCAGGCGCGAAAACUUUGCAAUACACGAAAGUGUGACAAGGCUAUCCCGAGUGCCAUCCGCUGAGGAAGGCUUUUACCCAGUAUAAAUAGCUGGGAGAAUAAGGAGAGGGCAAGUCUGGUGUCAGCCGCCGCGGUAAUACCAGCUCUCCGAGUAGUGUGGAUGUUUAUUGGGCCUAAAGCAUCCGUAGCUUGCUAAGCAAGUCCCCUGUUAAAUCCACCGAUUCAAUCGGUGGAUUGCGGGGGAUACUGUUUGGCUAGGGGACGGGAGAGGCCGACGGUAUUUCCCGGGUAGGGGUGAAAUCCUAUAAUCCCGGGAAGACCACCAGUGGCGAAGGCUGUCGGCUAGAACGCGCCCGACGGUGAGGGAUGAAAGCUGGGGGAGCGAACCGGAUUAGAUACCCGGGUAGUCCCAGCUGUAAACGAUGCAGGCUAGGUGUUUGGGCGGCCACGAGCCGCUCUAGUGCCGCAGGGAAGCUGUUAAGCCUGCCGCCUGGGGAGUACGGCCGCAAGGCUGAAACUUAAAGGAAUUGGCGGGGGAGCACCACAAGGGGUGAAGCUUGCGGUUUAAUUGGAGUCAACGCCGGAAAUCUCCCCGGGAGCGACAGCAGUAUGAAGGCCAGAUUAAAGGUCUUGCUAGACGAGCUGAGAGGAGGUGCAUGGCCGUCGCCAGUUCGUGCCGUGAGGUGUCCUGUUAAGUCAGGCAACGAUCGAGACCCGCGUCCUCUGUUGCUACUGGCUUUGAGCCAGGCACACUGAGGAGACCGCCGCUGAUAAAGCGGAGGAAGGAGCGGGCCACGGCAGGUCAGUAUGCCCCGAAUCUCCCGGGCCACACGCGAGCUGCAAUGGCAGGUACAAUGGGUCCCGACCUCAUAAGAGGAAGGCAAUCCCGAAAGCCUGCCGUAGUUGGGAUCGAGGGUUGAAACUCACCCUCGUGAACAUGGAAUCCCUAGUAAUCGCGUGUCACUAGCGCGCGGUGAAUACGUCCCUGCUGCCUUGCACGAAUUCGCCGAAUCACUAGU